Long non-coding RNA from Cryptotermes secundus, 456 nucleotides. RefSeq lists it as uncharacterized. The transcript is spliced from 3 exons. Lineage: Eukaryota; Metazoa; Arthropoda; Insecta; Blattodea; Kalotermitidae. The record is from RefSeq and is a predicted model, not a curated record.
GUUGGGGCAACACUUCAAUAACUGUGUAAUAAGAAAUUGCUCUGUGCAUUAUUAAAAUGAAAUACGUCUUACAACUGCAUUCUAAUGCUGGCUGGUAAUCAUACAUACGGGUAAAUUUACGUUUCAGGCGUUGCCUGUAUGGAGUACUCGACACAAAUUAUGGCAUUUCCUAUUGGCCAAUAACAAGUUAGUAUGAAACAAUAGAAAGUGUUUCGUGAUUAAUAUUUUCUUUUAUCAAAAGUGUAAAAUGAAUUAUAAAUUCUAGAAGUGUAAACUGCCUCUGACAAACCAUGAAAUUAAAUUGUGACUACUAUGGACUAAGAAAAUCCGUCUUGUAAGGACACCUCUGUCACUUCGAAGAAGCCUAAUCUGGCUCUUAAGUGAACGUAAUUGCUGACCCCUGGUAUGGGAAGAAGAAUUGAUUGUGGCGUGGGACUAAGUCCCUCGUACUGCGGC